Molecule: long non-coding RNA, 607 nt
Filed under: Salmo salar (Atlantic salmon)
Lineage: Eukaryota; Metazoa; Chordata; Actinopteri; Salmoniformes; Salmonidae
Description: lncRNA (ENSSSAG00000106189.1)
Source: RNAcentral
GUGAGAGAUGCAGAGAGAGAGAGAGAGUGAGUGAGAGAUGCAGAGAGAGAGAAUGCGAGAGAGAGAGAGAGAGUGAGUGAGAGAUGCAGAGAGAGAGAGAGAGAGGGUGAGAGAUGCAGAGAGAGAGAGAGUGAGUGAGAGAUGCAGAGAGAGAGAGAGAGUGAGUGAGAGAUGCAGAGAGAGAGAGAGUGAGUGAGAGAUGCAGAGAGAGAGAGAGUGAGUGAGAGAUGCAGAGAGAGAGAGAGUGAGUGAGAGAUGCAGAGAGAGAGAGUGAGUGAGAGAUGCAGAGAGAGAGAGAGAGUGAGUGAGAGAUGCAGAGAGAGAGAGAGAGAAUGCAGAGAGAGAGAGUGAGAGAUGCAGAGAGAGAGUGAGUGAGAGAUGCAGAGAGAGAGUGAGUGAGUGAGAGAUGCAGAGAGAGAGAGUGAGAGAUGCAGAGAGUGAGUGAGAGAUGCAGAGAGAGAGAGUGAGAGAUGCAGAGAGAGAGAGUAAGAGAUGCAGAGAGAGAGUGAGAAAAAGAGGUAUAGUGUCGGUUAGUAACAGAACAUAGUCCAAACAGUGAAUCAUGCGGAACAACUAACGUGCCUAACAAACACACACUGACAGAACA